GACGAACGCUGGCGGCGUGCCUAACACAUGCAAGUCGAGCGAAUGAAGUUCCUUCGGGAACGGAUUUAGCGGCGGACGGGUGAGUAACACGUGGGCAACCUACCUCAUAGAGGGGAAUAGCCUUCCGAAAGGGAGAUUAAAUACCGCAUAAGAUUGUAGUACCGCAUGGUACAGCAAUUAAAGGAGCAAUCCGCUAUGAGAUGGGCCCGCGGCGCAUUAGCUAGUUGGUGAGGUAACGGCUCACCAAGGCGACGAUGCGUAGCCGACCUGAGAGGUGAUCGGCCACAUUGGGACUGAGACACGGCCCAGACUCUACGGGAGGCAGCAGUGGGGAAUAUUGCACAAUGGGGGAAACCCUGAUGCAGCAACGCCGCGUGAGUGAUGACGG
This 388-nucleotide ribosomal RNA is filed under the name uncultured bacterium. RNAcentral's name for it is "bacterial SSU rRNA". It matches the Rfam family "Bacterial small subunit ribosomal RNA", at positions 28 to 414 of the family's 1533-position model. The record is from RNAcentral.